This 197-nucleotide long non-coding RNA is filed under the name Fukomys damarensis (Damara mole-rat). Its description in RNAcentral is "lncRNA (ENSFDAG00000025727.1)". The record is from RNAcentral. Lineage: Eukaryota; Metazoa; Chordata; Mammalia; Rodentia; Bathyergidae.
CCCAAGUCCAAGACCACACUUCCUGAAGGAAGGGUAGUAGACCUGCACUGUGAACCCGAGGUGCCUCCCAGCCCGGCAUCUGUCAGCUGGUCUACACAAGGUGCUGGGACUGUCAGCCCAAUGACACAUGGUGCUGGGCUGAUAGAGGCCUCCUGCCUUGUCUUCCAUCUUAUGAAAAAAAAAUUGAAUACAGCCCC